This 783-nucleotide ribosomal RNA is filed under the name uncultured bacterium. Its description in RNAcentral is "bacterial SSU rRNA". It matches the Rfam family "Bacterial small subunit ribosomal RNA", at positions 556 to 1337 of the family's 1533-position model. The record is from RNAcentral.
GGGCGUAAAGAGCUCGUAGGUGGUUUGUCGCGUUGUUCGUGAAAUCUCACGGCUUAACUGUGAGCGUGCGGGCGAUACGGGCAGACUUGAGUACUGCAGGGGAGACUGGAAUUCCUGGUGUAGCGGUGGAAUGCGCAGAUAUCAGGAGGAACACCGGUGGCGAAGGCGGGUCUCUGGGCAGUAACUGACGCUGAGGAGCGAAAGCGUGGGGAGCGAACAGGAUUAGAUACCCUGGUAGUCCACGCCGUAAACGGUGGGUACUAGGUGUGGGUUUCCUUCCUUGGGAUCCGUGCCGUAGCUAACGCAUUAAGUACCCCGCCUGGGGAGUACGGCCGCAAGGCUAAAACUCAAAGAAAUUGACGGGGGCCCGCACAAGCGGCGGAGCAUGUGGAUUAAUUCGAUGCAACGCGAAGAACCUUACCUGGGUUUGACAUGCACAGGACGCCGGCAGAGAUGUCGGUUCCCUUGUGGCCUGUGUGCAGGUGGUGCAUGGCUGUCGUCAGCUCGUGUCGUGAGAUGUUGGGUUAAGUCCCGCAACGAGCGCAACCCUUGUCUCAUGUUGCCAGCGGGUAAUGCCGGGGACUCGUGAGAGACUGCCGGGGUCAACUCGGAGGAAGGUGGGGAUGACGUCAAGUCAUCAUGCCCCUUAUGUCCAGGGCUUCACACAUGCUACAAUGGCCGGUACAAAGGGCUGCGAUGCCGCGAGGUUAAGCGAAUCCUUUUAAAGCCGGUCUCAGUUCGGAUCGGGGUCUGCAACUCGACCCCGUGAAGUCGGAGUCGCUA